ACAUACGACCAUAGGUAGUAGAGAACUCGGGGUCCCGUCCGCUCCCCCAUAGAUAAGCUACUAACCGGCAGAUUAGUAGUUGGGUGGGUGACCACCAGCGAACACCGGCUGUUGUAUGUU
This is a ribosomal RNA of Escovopsis weberi, 120 nucleotides long. NCBI's taxonomy places the organism in Eukaryota, Fungi, Ascomycota, Sordariomycetes, Hypocreales, Hypocreaceae. The record is from Rfam.